RNAcentral lists this unclassified non-coding RNA (256 nucleotides) under Hevea brasiliensis (rubber tree). The record is from RNAcentral. Lineage: Eukaryota; Viridiplantae; Streptophyta; Magnoliopsida; Malpighiales; Euphorbiaceae.
GAAAGAUUCUGGACUUGUUGUCGAUCCUGAGAAGGAAGUUACAGUUACCUCCGGCUGCACUGAAGCAAUUGCUGCAACCAUGCUUGGGUUAAUAAAUCCUGGCGACGAGGUGAUCCUUUUUGCUCCUUUUUAUGAUUCUUAUGAAGCCACUCUAUCAAUGGCUGGUGCCAAAGUCAAGUGCAUCACAUUACGCCCUCCAGAUUUUGCUCUCCCAAUAAAUGAGCUCAGGUCUGCAAUCUCAAAGGAUACUCGGGCA